CCGGCAGUCCCCGGAACGGAAGUCUGUACGCUCUGGGAAGCACAAAGGCGGCCCACUGACGGAGUUCCAGGAGAUUUGCUGACCGUCAACCAUGGAGCCAGGAUGACGUGAAGCCAGGAUGACUGCACUGGGAUGACGCACACCGGACCAUCAUUUGCUUUAUCAGAAUGGACUGUGCUUGUCUGCACGUAGAGAACUUUUCAUCCCCCUCCCUUAAUUUCUUUGUUCUAUUCCCUGCUUCCUCCUUAUAAAAAUCUCUGCCUCCACUGACAGGUGGAGAUGGGCUUUGAGAUAUGAGACCCCCAUCUUCCCAGGGGAUGGGCUUUGAGACAUGAGUCCCCCAUCUUCCAGAUGGCCAGCACCUGCAAAUAAACCACUUUCCUUUACAUCA
Artibeus jamaicensis (Jamaican fruit-eating bat) is the source of this 391-nucleotide long non-coding RNA. RefSeq lists it as uncharacterized. The transcript has 2 exons. NCBI's taxonomy places the organism in Eukaryota, Metazoa, Chordata, Mammalia, Chiroptera, Phyllostomidae. The record is from RefSeq and is a predicted model, not a curated record.